Molecule: long non-coding RNA, 992 nt
Filed under: Ictidomys tridecemlineatus (thirteen-lined ground squirrel)
Lineage: Eukaryota; Metazoa; Chordata; Mammalia; Rodentia; Sciuridae
Description: lncRNA (ENSSTOG00000029702.1)
Source: RNAcentral
GGGAAAGCAAGAGGAGAGGAGUAAUUAAGGAUUUAGUGUGAUCCUCUUGAAACAGCUGGAGAGGCUUUAGGAGACCAGAUUACAUGCACAUUGGUUGGUAUUAUUACCCCUGGAAUCAAAAAGAAUAUGAAAAAUGAAGAGUGGGCUAACAUUUUAAAAUGAUGGGGCAAUGGGUUGCCAGAAAGGUACUUCCAGGAUGUCUUGAAACCUAUUUGGAAGAAAGUCACCAAUCAGAUGAAGGGGCUUGUGAAGUGAUAUUUGAUGGGAAUGGAAGAAAAGUACUGGAGAGGGGUGGCUGAGGAACGAGAGAUCAAGGGAUAUGCUGCUAAAACACUCAAGAAGCAAAUGGAGGUUUCUCUGUGCCUCCCAGGAGAGACGAGGAGGAGAUGCAGGGAUAAUGUUCACAGGAGCCAUUAGAGAGCCACAGCAGCAAGAGCCGCCAUUGGCUCCAUCUUGGAAAGCCCCCAGCUUUCCUGCAAAAAGAACGCUGGAUCCCCCUGGAACCUGGAAGUUUCUAACCCUUUCAGGAGCUGCAGCAUUAUCUAAGCAAAACUAUGUCUGCCCAGGGGAGAGAGGAACAAUGUGGCAAAGCAUCUCUCUGAAGUAUUUAAUGCAAUUUGUCCUUCCAACAACUCAAUCGCUACCUCCACUGAGAAGGGAAGAGACACCUCUUAAAGAUCUGCAGCGGUGGCUCAUGAGAUGGUGGCUGCUGUCUUUUAUACUAGAACACACAGGGAGAGCAGAAGGAGCAUUCCCAAGUGGCUAGACCUAUAUAAAGGAACAGCAGAGCAGUCAAUGUUGACCUCUGAAGUGGAGAUGGCUGAUGGUUGGUUUGGAGGAGUUGAGGAAAAGAACUAUCUGUUGCCAACCCACAGAUCCCUGAAAGACAACAGACAACUGAUGUAUGAAGACUGUGCCUUGUGAAUGUUUCCCUCAAGAACCUGGGACAUAGAGAACCAAGGCAAGUUGGAGAGCGAGGGCAAAUUCCCUCU